RNAcentral lists this unclassified non-coding RNA (253 nucleotides) under uncultured Pirellulaceae bacterium. Its description in RNAcentral is "contains 16S-23S intergenic spacer region". It matches the Rfam family "Bacterial small subunit ribosomal RNA", at positions 524 to 776 of the family's 1533-position model. The record is from RNAcentral. Lineage: Bacteria; Pseudomonadati; Planctomycetota; Planctomycetia; Pirellulales; Pirellulaceae.
GACGAACCGUCCAAACGUUAUUCGGAAUUAUUGGGCUUAAAGGGUGCGUAGGCGGUGCGGGAAGUGAGGGGUGAAAUCCCUCGGCUCAACCGAGGAAUUGCGCUUCAUACUGCCGUGCUGGAGGGCGACAGGGGUAAGCGGAACUGAUGGUGGAGCGGUGAAAUGCGUUGAUAUCAUCAGGAACACCGGUGGCGAAAGCGGCUUACUGGGUCUCUUCUGACGCUGAGGCACGAAAGCUAGGGUAGCGAACGGG